Molecule: transfer RNA, 58 nt
Filed under: Dipodomys ordii (Ord's kangaroo rat)
Lineage: Eukaryota; Metazoa; Chordata; Mammalia; Rodentia; Heteromyidae
Rfam family: tRNA
About the family: Transfer RNA (tRNA) molecules are approximately 80 nucleotides in length. Their secondary structure includes four short double-helical elements and three loops (D, anti-codon, and T loops).
Source: Rfam by way of RNAcentral
UGACUCAGUGGUAGAGUGCUUGCCUUGCAUGCAUGAAGCCCUGGGUUCGAUUCCUCAG